This 558-nucleotide ribosomal RNA is filed under the name uncultured bacterium. Its description in RNAcentral is "partial 16S ribosomal RNA". It matches the Rfam family "Bacterial small subunit ribosomal RNA", at positions 355 to 905 of the family's 1533-position model. The record is from RNAcentral.
UGGGGAAUUUUGGACAAUGGGCGAAAGCCUGAUCCAGCAAUGCCGCGUGUGUGAAGAAGGCCUUCGGGCUGUAAAGCACUUUUGUCCGGAAAGAAAUCCUUGGCUCUAAUACAGUCGGGGGAUGACGGUACCGGAAGAAUAAGCACCGGCUAACUACGUGCCAGCAGCCGCGGUAAUACGUAGGGUGCAAGCGUUAAUCGGAAUUACUGGGCGUAAAGCGUGCGCAGGCGGUUUGCUAAGACCGAUGUGAAAUCCCCGGGCUCAACCUGGGAACUGCAUUGGUGACUGGCAGGCUAGAGUAUGGCAGAGGGGGGUAGAAUUCCACGUGUAGCAGUGAAAUGCGUAGAGAUGUGGAGGAAUACCGAUGGCGAAGGCAGCCCCCUGGGCCAAUACUGACGCUCAUGCACGAAAGCGUGGGGAGCAAACAGGAUUAGAUACCCUGGUAGUCCACGCCCUAAACGAUGUCAACUAGUUGUUGGGGACUUCAUUUCCUUAGUAACGUAGCUAACGCGUGAAGUUGACCGCCUGGGGAGUACGGUCGCAAGAUUAAAACUCAAA